AUAACGACUCUCGGCAACGGAUAUCUAGGCUCUCGCAUCGAUGAAGAACGCAGCGARAUGCGAUACUUGGUGUGAAUUGCAGAAUCCCGUGAACCAUCGAGUUUUUGAACGCAAGUUGCGCCCGAAGCCAUUAGGCCAAGGGCAMGUCUGCCUGGGCGUCACGC
Molecule: ribosomal RNA, 164 nt
Filed under: Scrophularia tenuipes
Lineage: Eukaryota; Viridiplantae; Streptophyta; Magnoliopsida; Lamiales; Scrophulariaceae
Description: 5.8S ribosomal RNA
Rfam family: 5.8S ribosomal RNA
About the family: 5.8S ribosomal RNA (5.8S rRNA) is a component of the large subunit of the eukaryotic ribosome.
Source: RNAcentral